Molecule: transfer RNA, 53 nt
Filed under: Tetrabothrius sp. DTJL-2008
Lineage: Eukaryota; Metazoa; Platyhelminthes; Cestoda; Tetrabothriidea; Tetrabothriidae
Description: partial tRNA-Thr
Source: RNAcentral
GAUUAUUGUGUCUGUAUAGAUUAUUUAAAUCGUGAUGCUGUUAACUUCAGGAA